Boleophthalmus pectinirostris (great blue-spotted mudskipper) is the source of this 325-nucleotide long non-coding RNA. RefSeq lists it as uncharacterized. NCBI's taxonomy places the organism in Eukaryota, Metazoa, Chordata, Actinopteri, Gobiiformes, Gobiidae. The transcript is spliced from 3 exons. The record is from RefSeq and is a predicted model, not a curated record.
CAAAGAGUGAUAUCCAGAGCUCUGCUGGAGCUGUGGGGAAGUUCAUGAAUGUUAUAGUUGAUGUUUCAGAAAAAAGGAAGAUGUUUGAGAACCAACAAAACACAGACCACAGAUGAACAAAGUGAUGUGGCAUUAGGAGGACUUUAUACCAGAUGCCCUCCCUGUUACUGUGUUUAGAGGAAGAAAAGCAGCACAUGGCAGAGACCAGAGCUUCUUCACUGGAAUAAAUCUUCACACUGUCCAGCUCCAAACUGUGUAUCUCUGUCCCUGUGCUCUCUUUGUGUUUGAUUCUGUUUAAGACAAUACAGAUCUGUAGAAAACUAAA